UGCCUACGGGGGGCAGCAGUGGGGGAUACUGCACAAUGGGGGAAACCCUGAUGCAGCGACGCCGCGUGAGUGAAGAAGUAUUUCGGUAUGUAAAGCUCUAUCGGCAGGGAAGAAAAAAAUGACAGUACCUGACUAAGAAGCCCCCGCUAACUACGUGCCAGCAGCCGCGGUAAUACGUAGGGGGCAAGCGUUAUCCGGAUUUACUGGGUGUAAAGGGAGCGGAGGCGGCCACGCAAGUCAGAAGUGAAAACCCGGGGCCCAACCCUGGGAGGGCUUUUGAAAAUGUGCGG
This 290-nucleotide ribosomal RNA is filed under the name uncultured bacterium. RNAcentral describes it as "partial 16S ribosomal RNA". It matches the Rfam family "Bacterial small subunit ribosomal RNA", at positions 335 to 640 of the family's 1533-position model. The record is from RNAcentral.